RNAcentral lists this long non-coding RNA (475 nucleotides) under Spirodela polyrhiza (greater duckweed). RNAcentral's name for it is "long non-coding RNA (SPOL_LNC002608)". Lineage: Eukaryota; Viridiplantae; Streptophyta; Magnoliopsida; Alismatales; Araceae. The record is from RNAcentral.
AAGUACUACUCUCACUCCCAUCCUUGGUGAGAUGUAUCAUCUUCAAGUUUAAAAACCUAAGAGAUGUUUGAAAACAUCAAUAAUAAAGUAGUGGUGAGUGAUUCCUUGGGACUCUAUGUUCUUGAAGUUUUUCAAUUACUAGAGUAUUAAAUAUAUCUAUAAUUGUGACCUUUUUGAGAGUGUGAUAAUUAUGGACUCUAAUAUUUCAUGUAUGAGCUUCUCAAUUUAAAUCUUUUGAAAUAAAGGUAUUAGAAUGGUAUGAUGUUAUUACGUAUAGAGUUUGGCUUCACUUGGAUUGCUUGAUGUACUUUUCAGUUUGAGGGUUAGUCGGACAUAUUCAAAAUUAAUCUUUGAGUUGACUUUGUUAAAGCUAUGAAGGCAAUGUAUUUUGAUGAUGAGAAAGUAAUCUAGGAUCAAUUCAUGAUAAUCAAAUAAAUGAAUUAUGCUUAAAUAAUUUACAUGCAUAAGAUGAACA